Acanthosepion pharaonis is the source of this 112-nucleotide non-coding RNA. Lineage: Eukaryota; Metazoa; Mollusca; Cephalopoda; Sepiida; Sepiidae. The record is from the annotation of a GenBank genome assembly.
AUGGCCAUAUCACAUUGAAACACCAAUUCUUGUAUGAUCACUGAAGUUAAGCCACAUUGAGCUUGGUCAGUACAUAUAUGGGUGACUACUUGGGAAUAUCAGGUACUGUAUG